GAUGAACGCUGGCGGCGUGCCUAAUACAUGCAAGUAGAACGCUGAAGGAAGGAGCUUGCUCUUUCCGGAUGAGUUGCGAACGGGUGAGUAACGCGUAGGUAACCUGCCUGGUAGCGGGGGAUAACCAUUGGAAACGAUAGCUAAUACCGCAUAACAGUAGAUGUUGCAUGAUAUCUACUUAAAAGGUGCAAUUGCACCACUACCAGAUGGACCUGCGUUGUAUUAGCUAGUUGGUGAGGUAACGGCUCACCAAGGCGACGAUACAUAGCCGACCUGAGAGGGUGAGCGGCCACACUGGGACUGAGACACGGCCCAGACUCCUACGGGAGGCAGCAGUAGGGAAUCUUCGGCAAUGGACGGAAGUCUGACCGAGCAACGCCGCGUGAGUGAAGAAGGUUGUCGGAUCGUAAAGCUCUGUUGUAAGAGAAGAACGAGUGUGAGAGUGGAAAGUUCACACUGUGACGGUAUCUUACCAGAAAGGGACGGCUAACUACGUG
RNAcentral lists this ribosomal RNA (497 nucleotides) under uncultured bacterium. RNAcentral describes it as "partial 16S ribosomal RNA". It matches the Rfam family "Bacterial small subunit ribosomal RNA", at positions 28 to 507 of the family's 1533-position model. The record is from RNAcentral.